Molecule: non-coding RNA, 99 nt
Filed under: Clostridium neonatale
Lineage: Bacteria; Bacillati; Bacillota; Clostridia; Eubacteriales; Clostridiaceae
Description: SAM riboswitch (S box leader)
Rfam family: SAM riboswitch aptamer (S box leader)
About the family: The SAM riboswitch is found upstream of a number of genes which code for proteins involved in methionine or cysteine biosynthesis in Gram-positive bacteria. The SAM riboswitch acts at the level of transcription termination control.
Source: RNAcentral
UCUUAUCAAGAGAGGUGGAGGGAUAGGGCCCAGUGAAACCCGGCAACCUGUUUAAUUACAAGGUGCCAAUUCCUGUAGAAAGAUUUUCUACAAGAUAAG